This 137-nucleotide ribosomal RNA is filed under the name uncultured bacterium. RNAcentral's name for it is "partial 16S ribosomal RNA". It matches the Rfam family "Bacterial small subunit ribosomal RNA", at positions 355 to 509 of the family's 1533-position model. The record is from RNAcentral.
UGGGGAAUAUUGCACAAUGGGGGAAACCCUGAUGCAGCGACGCCGCGUGAGCGAAGAAGUAUUUCGGUAUGUAAAGCUCAAUCAGCAGGGAAGAUAAUGACGGUACCUGACUAAGAAGCCCCGGCUAACUACGUGCC